RNAcentral lists this transfer RNA (73 nucleotides) under Desmophyllum pertusum. RNAcentral's name for it is "tRNA-Arg". The record is from RNAcentral. Lineage: Eukaryota; Metazoa; Cnidaria; Anthozoa; Scleractinia; Caryophylliidae.
CCCCAGGUGGCCUAAUGGUUAGCGCAUUGGACUCCGGAUAGAGCGGUCCGUGUUCGAGCCCUGGCUUGGGUCA